GCCCGAAUGGCUCAGUGGUAAAGCGUCUCACUAGUACCGUCUGUUUCGGUUUUCAAAUUGAGACAGUCAAUCCGACAUGAGAAGAUCGCCAGUUCGAUUCUGGCUUUGGGCA
This 112-nucleotide transfer RNA is filed under the name Colletotrichum higginsianum. RNAcentral's name for it is "tRNA CH063_16274". It matches the Rfam family "tRNA". From Rfam's summary of the family: Transfer RNA (tRNA) molecules are approximately 80 nucleotides in length. Their secondary structure includes four short double-helical elements and three loops (D, anti-codon, and T loops). The record is from Rfam by way of RNAcentral. RNAcentral also lists the same sequence under 1 other name. Lineage: Eukaryota; Fungi; Ascomycota; Sordariomycetes; Glomerellales; Glomerellaceae.